AGAGUUUGAUCCUGGCUCAGGAUGAACGCUAGCUACAGGCUUAACACAUGCAAGUCGAGGGGCAGCAUUUUAGUUUGCUUGCAAACUGAAGAUGGCGACCGGCGCACGGGUGAGUAACACGUAUCCAACCUGCCGAUAACUCCGGGAUAGCCUUUCGAAAGAAAGAUUAAUACCGGAUAGCAUACGAAUAUCGCAUGAUAUUUUUAUUAAAGAAUUUCGGUCAUCGAUGGGGAUGCGUUCCAUUAGGUUGUUGGCGGGGUAACGGCCCACCAAGCCUUCGAUGGAUAGGGGUUCUGAGAGGAAGGUCCCCCACAUUGGAACUGAGACACGGUCCAAACUCCUACGGGAGGCAGCAGUGAGGAAUAUUGGUCAAUGGACGAGAGUCUGAACCAGCCAAGUAGCGUGAAGGAUGACUGCCCUAUGGGUUGUAAACUUCUUUUAUACGGGAAUAAAGUGAGGCACGUGUGCCUUUUUGUAUGUACCGUAUGAAUAAGGAUCGGCUAACUCCGUGCCAGCAGCCGCGGUAAUACGGAGGAUCCGAGCGUUAUCCGGAUUUAUUGGGUUUAAAGGGAGCGUAGGCGGACGCUUAAGUCAGUUGUGAAAGUUUGCGGCUCAACCGUAAAAUUGCAGUUGAUACUGGGUGUCUUGAGUACAGUAGAGGCAGGCGGAAUUCGUGGUGUAGCGGUGAAAUGCUUAGAUAUCACGAAGAACUCCGAUUGCGAAGGCAGCUUGCUGGACUGUAACUGACGCUGAUGCUCGAAAGUGUGGGUAUCAAACAGGAUUAGAUACCCUGGUAGUCCACACAGUAAACGAUGAAUACUCGCUGUUUGCGAUAUACAGUAAGCGGCCAAGCGAGAGCGUUAAGUAUUCCACCUGGGGAGUACGCCGGCAACGGUGAAACUCAAAGGAAUUGACGGGGGCCCGCACAAGCGGAGGAACAUGUGGUUUAAUUCGAUGAUACGCGAGGAACCUUACCCGGGCUUGAAUUGCAACUGAAUGAUGUGGAGACAUGUCAGCCGCAAGGCAGUUGUGAAGGUGCUGCAUGGUUGUCGUCAGCUCGUGCCGUGAGGUGUCGGCUUAAGUGCCAUAACGAGCGCAACCCUUAUCGAUAGUUACCAUCAGGUUAUGCUGGGGACUCUGUCGAGACUGCCGUCGUAAGAUGUGAGGAAGGUGGGGAUGACGUCAAAUCAGCACGGCCCUUACGUCCGGGGCUACACACGUGUUACAAUGGGGGGUACAGAAGGCAGCUACACGGCGACGUGAUGCUAAUCCCGAAAGCCUCUCUCAGUUCGGAUUGGAGUCUGCAACCCGACUCCAUGAAGCUGGAUUCGCUAGUAAUCGCGCAUCAGCCACGGCGCGGUGAAUACGUUCCCGGGCCUUGUACACACCGCCCGUCAAG
Molecule: ribosomal RNA, 1399 nt
Filed under: uncultured bacterium
Lineage: Bacteria
Description: bacterial SSU rRNA
Rfam family: Bacterial small subunit ribosomal RNA
Source: RNAcentral